UAAUUUAAUAGGGGAAUGAGUGAUUCUUUCCCGAGGGAAAGAAUUGAAAAGGGAAGUCAGUUGAAGCUGACGCGGUGCCCGCCACUGUAAAAGGGAGUUAACUCAUAGAAUGUCACUGGACAUAUCCGGGAAGACGUGAGUUGACGUAGAUCUUGAGCCAGGAGACCUGCUUAUUCCGAGUCAAACUA
RNAcentral lists this non-coding RNA (188 nucleotides) under Desulfosporosinus sp. Lineage: Bacteria; Bacillati; Bacillota; Clostridia; Eubacteriales; Desulfitobacteriaceae. RNAcentral also lists the same sequence under 1 other name. The record is from RNAcentral.